AGACCCGGAGAGGUAAACUAAGGCAUAAAUGAAGCACUGCGAGGCACACGACUUGGAGAAACAUUUAACAAGGAACGUUUGUUCUUCUGCAAACACUGAGCAUUUUAUGAUCACAAGCUUAGAUUACAGCAGAGCUCUUGGCAUGCCAAAUACUACUGCAGUUGUACAAGCCUAUUUUUCAAGAGGAAAAGACAGAGAAGCAACCCAGUAGUGCAUGUUUGUAACAGAAUCUGGCUAAAGCAAAGCAACCAGCGUGUCUCCAGCAUGAAUAAGCAAACUGUGCCUUGGGCUACAUCAGGAGGCCAACAGAUCAUGGGAAGAUCCCCACUGACUCAUCCACUUUGGCCACACGAAAUACUGUGUCUGUUUCCAGGCCUCUCCCAGUUGAAGGGGAAUGCGAAAGAAGGAAAGAGGGUCCAGAAGCUAAUCGGGGCCUGGGGCACGUGAUCAAAAAACAGAAGCUGAGCUUCUAUAGACAAGGGAAGAUGAAGCUGAGAGUGCCCUACAACUAUUCCAAAGAUGUGCAUCAUAUGUAUGCAGGAAUGCACAGAAAUGGUAUUACCCCUUUAUAAAUUAAAGGAGCAAAAUGAAGAUCUAAAAGCAUCAGUAGGCCACAAGGACAAAGACAAAGGAUUCUUGCUUGAUGAAAUCAUUAUAUUAAUAAGACUAAGUCCAUCCUAAGCACAGGAACAGACUGUCAGCAGAAUCUUCUCUUGGACUGAAAAUGGCUGCAGCCAUUUCUCCUACACCACAGCAUGCUCCCUAUGAAGAGGAUGGCAAAGCUCAGGAUUUAUCAACAGAGCCAUGGCUUAAGUUAGCUACAAGAUAUAUUUGCAGUUUCCAAAACCUGAAAGGCUGUUGGGAUUUCCACGGACAGUUAGUUGUUUCACAAUGUAAACACACUACAAGCUACACAGUGCAUGAAUUGACUGGAAAGUACUAUAGUGUGAGAAAAAAAAGGUAGAGUCUAAUAGGGUAUGCUUUAUCAUUUUCUGGUGGAAGUCCUCUGCAUGGAUUGCUUCAGUGCAGGUUUAGUCUGUGUCAGAUUUGCUGAGGAUAAAGUGGAUAUGGGUGACACUGCGAGGUGCACUGCUCUGCUUCAGGCCCUCCUGUGCUCCUUCUUUAGAAAAGAGUUGGAGAGCAGGAAUGAGCAGCAGAGAAGGAAGCCCAGCAGGAUGUAAAAUACAAGGUGAGGCUCUCCUGCAAUGCUCAACAUUAAUAGAUUCUUGGAAAGAAAGAAGAAUUUGAACAACAUCCCAUUUCUGUCACGCUCUGCCAAGAUACUAUUUUGGAUGAGGAUGUUGGAGCACUUCAUUUUACUCCACCAACUCCCUGUCCUCUUUUAAGGAACGUUUCCACCAUAUGGAGAAGUUGUCACUCACAGAAUCACAGAAGAAGUCAUCUGGAUAUUCAGUCAACUGCUGUUUCCAGGCACGGUGAAAUCCACCAUCUCCGAAGCGGCUCAGGGAGGAGGGCAGUGUGGGCAGGGUUUCACCUGCAGUUCCAGCGGUGCUCCGGCAUUCUGGCAUCUUCAAAGGAGCGGCUGAAACUGAUUCAAAAUCUCCAACUACCACACUGUGUUGCCCGUCCGUGUUUAAAUGCUGAGGAUCUGAUUUUUAAAAUCAUUGUGUCUGCAUUAAGACAGCCUUUCACCGUAAGGAGGGUGACAGGUGCUCAGCAACAUCUGAAAAAGAAGUCACGGGGCAGAUAAAAAACCCACCCCGAAGGCAGCGUGCCAGGCUGCUGCACUACUGAAGCACUGCCUCUGUUUCUCAUCCUGCCACUCUUAAAAUAAACAAAUGCUU
Molecule: long non-coding RNA, 1805 nt
Organism: Gallus gallus (chicken)
Lineage: Eukaryota; Metazoa; Chordata; Aves; Galliformes; Phasianidae
Exons: 2
Source: RefSeq, a predicted model, not a curated record